AAGGUAACGGCUUACCAAGGCAACGAUGCAUAGCCGACCUGAGAGGGUGAUCGGCCACACUGGAACUGAGACACGGUCCAGACUCCUACGGGAGGCAGCAGUAGGGAAUCUUCCGCAAUGGGCGAAAGCCUGACGGAGCAACGCCGCGUGAGUGAUGAAGGUCUUCGGAUCGUAAAACUCUGUUAUUAGGGAAGAACAUAUGUGUAAGUAACUGUGCACAUCUUGACGGUACCUAAUCAGAAAGCCACGGCUAACUACGUGCCAGCAGCCGCGGUAAUACGUAGGUGGCAAGCGUUAUCCGGAAUUAUUGGGCGUAAAGCGCGCGUAGGCGGUUUUUUAAGUCUGAUGUGAAAGCCCACGGCUCAACCGUGGAGGGUCAUUGGAAACUGGAAAACUUGAGUGCAGAAGAGGAAAGUGGAAUUCCAUGUGUAGCGGUGAAAUGCGCAGAGAUAUGGAGGAACACCAGUGGCGAAGGCGACU
Molecule: ribosomal RNA, 480 nt
Filed under: Staphylococcus aureus
Lineage: Bacteria; Bacillati; Bacillota; Bacilli; Caryophanales; Staphylococcaceae
Description: bacterial SSU rRNA
Rfam family: Bacterial small subunit ribosomal RNA
Source: RNAcentral